This 1941-nucleotide ribosomal RNA is filed under the name Enterobacter cloacae. RNAcentral describes it as "bacterial LSU rRNA". It matches the Rfam family "Bacterial large subunit ribosomal RNA", at positions 892 to 2812 of the family's 2925-position model. Lineage: Bacteria; Pseudomonadati; Pseudomonadota; Gammaproteobacteria; Enterobacterales; Enterobacteriaceae. The record is from RNAcentral.
AUCUUCGGGGGUAGAGCACUGUUUCGGCUAGGGGGCCAUCCCGGCUUACCAACCCGAUGCAAACUACGAAUACCGAAGAAUGUUAUCACGGGAGACACACGGCGGGUGCUAACGUCCGUCGUGAAGAGGGAAACAACCCAGACCGCCAGCUAAGGUCCCAAAGUCAUGGUUAAGUGGGAAACGAUGUGGGAAGGCACAGACAGCCAGGAUGUUGGCUUAGAAGCAGCCAUCAUUUAAAGAAAGCGUAAUAGCUCACUGGUCGAGUCGGCCUGCGCGGAAGAUGUAACGGGGCUAAACCAUGCACCGAAGCUGCGGCAGCGACACUAUGUGUUGUUGGGUAGGGGAGCGUUCUGUAAGCCGUUGAAGGUGUGCUGUGAGGCAUGCUGGAGGUAUCAGAAGUGCGAAUGCUGACAUAAGUAACGAUAAAGCGGGUGAAAAGCCCGCUCGCCGGAAGACCAAGGGUUCCUGUCCAACGUUAAUCGGGGCAGGGUGAGUCGACCCCUAAGGCGAGGCCGAAAGGCGUAGUCGAUGGGAAACAGGUUAAUAUUCCUGUACUUGGUGUUACUGCGAAGGGGGGACGGAGAAGGCUAUGUCAGCCGGGCGACGGUUGUCCCGGUUUAAGCAUGUAGGCGGAGGUUCCAGGUAAAUCCGGUACCUUGUUAACGCUGAGGUGUGAUGACGAGGCACUACGGUGCUGAAGUGAUAAAUGCCCUGCUUCCAGGAAAAGCCUCUAAGCAUCAGGUAACACGAAAUCGUACCCCAAACCGACACAGGUGGUCAGGUAGAGAAUACCAAGGCGCUUGAGAGAACUCGGGUGAAGGAACUAGGCAAAAUGGUGCCGUAACUUCGGGAGAAGGCACGCUGAUGUGUAGGUGAAGCCCCUGCGGGUGGAGCUGAAAUCAGUCGAAGAUACCAGCUGGCUGCAACUGUUUAUUAAAAACACAGCACUGUGCAAACACGAAAGUGGACGUAUACGGUGUGACGCCUGCCCGGUGCCGGAAGGUUAAUUGAUGGGGUUAGCGGCAACGCGAAGCUCUUGAUCGAAGCCCCGGUAAACGGCGGCCGUAACUAUAACGGUCCUAAGGUAGCGAAAUUCCUUGUCGGGUAAGUUCCGACCUGCACGAAUGGCGUAAUGAUGGCCAGGCUGUCUCCACCCGAGACUCAGUGAAAUUGAACUCGCUGUGAAGAUGCAGUGUACCCGCGGCAAGACGGAAAGACCCCGUGAACCUUUACUAUAGCUUGACACUGAACACUGGUCCUUGAUGUGUAGGAUAGGUGGGAGGCUUUGAAGCGUGGACGCCAGUCUGCGUGGAGCCAACCUUGAAAUACCACCCUUUAAUGGCUGGUGUUCUAACGUAGACCCGUAAUCCGGGUUGCGGACAGUGUCUGGUGGGUAGUUUGACUGGGGCGGUCUCCUCCCAAAGAGUAACGGAGGAGCACGAAGGUUGGCUAAUCCUGGUCGGACAUCAGGAGGUUAGUGCAAUGGCAUAAGCCAGCUUGACUGCGAGCGUGACGGCGCGAGCAGGUGCGAAAGCAGGUCAUAGUGAUCCGGUGGUUCUGAAUGGAAGGGCCAUCGCUCAACGGAUAAAAGGUACUCCGGGGAUAACAGGCUGAUACCGCCCAAGAGUUCAUAUCGACGGCGGUGUUUGGCACCUCGAUGUCGGCUCAUCACAUCCUGGGGCUGAAGUAGGUCCCAAGGGUAUGGCUGUUCGCCAUUUAAAGUGGUACGCGAGCUGGGUUUAGAACGUCGUGAGACAGUUCGGUCCCUAUCUGCCGUGGGCGCUGGAGAAUUGAGGGGGGCUGCUCCUAGUACGAGAGGACCGGAGUGGACGCAUCACUGGUGUUCGGGUUGUCAUGCCAAUGGCACUGCCCGGUAGCUAAAUGCGGAAGAGAUAAGUGCUGAAAGCAUCUAAGCACGAAACUUGCCCCGAGAUGAGUUCU